Rhinichthys klamathensis goyatoka is the source of this 143-nucleotide long non-coding RNA. RefSeq lists it as uncharacterized. Lineage: Eukaryota; Metazoa; Chordata; Actinopteri; Cypriniformes; Leuciscidae. The transcript is spliced from 2 exons. The record is from RefSeq and is a predicted model, not a curated record.
UAUUGUCAAACAAAACGGAGGCUAGCUAGACCCUCCCUCCUCCGCAUCUCGUCUCCUCCCCCUCCCUUCCGUGUUUCCUGAAACAGUUGUGAACUCAUAGUUCUAGCUAAUUAUAUCCUUGUGUGGGUUUGGCGAACAUAAGC